RNAcentral lists this long non-coding RNA (369 nucleotides) under Populus trichocarpa (black cottonwood). Its description in RNAcentral is "long non-coding RNA (PTRI_LNC002595)". Lineage: Eukaryota; Viridiplantae; Streptophyta; Magnoliopsida; Malpighiales; Salicaceae. The record is from RNAcentral.
UGCAGAGUUCAUGGCCACCUUCUUGUUUUUGUACAUCACCGUUUUGACUGUGAUGGGCGUGUUUAAGGACACGACUAAGUGCACAACGGUUGGAAUUCAAGGGAUCGCUUGGGCCUUUGGUGGCAUGAUUUUCGCUCUUGUUUACUGCACUGCUGGCAUUUCAGGUCUUAAAAAUUAAAAGAGCUGCCAUGAAUUUCUAGUUUGAGUAUUUAUACAUGGUUCUAGCAUAGAAAAUAGAAUUAGUUUUUUUAAAAAAAAUUAACCUGCGAUGUGAUUUUGGUACUUGCAGGGGGUCACAUAAAUCCUGCUGUGACUUUUGGGCUAUUUUUGGCAAGGAAAUUGUCCUUGACAAGGGCCGUGUUCUACAUG